UCAACCACCAUUUUUUGGAAG
Molecule: non-coding RNA, 21 nt
Filed under: Caenorhabditis elegans
Lineage: Eukaryota; Metazoa; Nematoda; Chromadorea; Rhabditida; Rhabditidae
Source: RNAcentral